This is a small nucleolar RNA of Rattus rattus (black rat), 130 nucleotides long. RefSeq annotates it as small nucleolar RNA SNORA17. The transcript has a single exon. NCBI's taxonomy places the organism in Eukaryota, Metazoa, Chordata, Mammalia, Rodentia, Muridae. The record is from RefSeq and is a predicted model, not a curated record.
CCCUGCCCUAGAAGUGUUGCAGGUGCGGCUGUUGUAUCACGAGUACAUCAAUAGGUGUUGGAGAGGAGAGGGACUAUGUCUACACUCAGUGUUCUGACCUGGGAAUCUGAAGGAUUACUAGCCUAACAUU